UAUGUAUCUGUCAAUGACGUUUUAUCCAUUCAGAUGGUUGUGUGGCUCAUUUUAAUGCAACAAUUAGCAACCUUUUGCUAUGAUGUUAUUUUGAGAAUGGACCACAAGUGUGAAUGUCUAUAGAAGAGUAAUGAACAAUGAAUGACAUUAUGUUAUGACAUUAGUCAGUAAGAUUAUUUGUCUCAUGCAGAUUGGACUACUUAGUAAACAGCUGAUUUAGAGACACAUUGUAUAUUCACUAUCAUUACAAUGUAUUCCCUUAGAAAACAUUCUUAUACAGAGUGACAUAUGCAAGCCAUUAGUAUUAAGUGCCUUGUUCAAGGACACACCGGGUUUAUCACCUUGUUAGCACCAGAUUUUAAAUCCAAAACCUUUUAGUUACUGGCCCUACACUCUACCCAAUAGGCCUUCUCUUCAAUCAUUAGGGAAGUUAAAUAUGUAACUGAGUCUGAUCUAUCAGCACACAUACUUUAUAAUUAGCACGGUUGGCUAUUCAAUUCACAAUCGUAGCAAGUGAUGUUAUUUUAUAAUUGGAUGACAGAGAUUCUUAUUUCCCGAAAACGUAUGCAAAUGUAUUUGAAAAGCAUCACAGACUGGUAAAUGUCACAGUGCAGUGAUGGCAUUUUGUAAAACUUUUAUCUCGAAUCCACCAAGUCACAUUUAGCCAUUUUGACGCCACUAUCACUGUUGAGGCUGUCAAGGCCGAGGUAAUCUAUCUCAACCCACAAUGCCUAGUGCUGACUAGGAAACAAUGACAUUCUGAUAGAGAUCUCUGCUUCCGUGCUUUCCCACUCUUAUUAGUGUAUAAAGGCUAAAUCGAAUCAAAUAAAUACUGACUAAUUAAAUGGGAUAUUAUGUAAGCCCGCAUACUUUGAACUAUUGAACAUUUAUGUGCAUCUUGUCAGAAAUUAUAUCCACCACAGUCAUUAUUAUAAUUCAUGGUCAUACAUCAUACAGUAGCUAAGUCAUACGUUGGCUGGUAGUAAAAUGUAAUGAAUGCCUUCUUCAGACGAUCUGUGGACCUGUUAUUGAAUAAAAACUAAAAGAAAACAUGUACAAUGCCCUCCAGACAUAUUGGUAAAAAGGCUUUUUUAAUAAGUUGAUUUGAGUCACAAGGAACUCUGAAGUGGUCAUCCAUGACUUUCUGUUUCACUGGGGUAUAAAUAUGUAGUGGCAUGCCACACUUGUUGAGUUAUCUGUCAAAAUGGGGAAGGUCAGGGAACAUGAAAUUAGAUAAAAUGUAUAAAUUAGGCAAUGACCAUAUCAAAUGAAUAUACCCAUCUCCCCUAUUAGGGCAAUAACUAAAACGUUUGAAGAGGGCAUAAGUGUUCUUGACACGAUGCAUAGUAAUGAGAAUGAUUUAGGAGGUAAACAUUUUCCAAGGAUAACAGUAGGAGAACUGCAGAGCUUAUAUGAGUCUUGUAGUCACCAAAUCUCCCAAACUGCCUCAUAUCCAAGCCAACAAUGUUUAUUCCUUAUAAAUAUAAUUGCUGUAUUGUUUGUAUAUCAUUAGUGACUGAUAUUGAGGUUAUUUUACAGCACUCUGAGCAACACUGAACUGAAGCUAUCUAAAACAUCAAUUAUGUAAAUUAAUGCAGGAGAACUGGUGGGAGUUGACCAAUCUAGCUUAUGAUUGGUCAAAAACAUAUCCACUUAUACUUGCCAUUGCAUGAACAACUGAUACAAUCGAAGGUACUUGGUACAUGUCGGUUAUUCAAAAGAACAUGAUAGAGUUGCCCUGAAAUUCCAGCAUUCACUGUGGCUGUAGUGGAGACACAUACUGUAUCAGUGUUUGGUAUUCCAAUUCAGUCUUUUGUACGAGGCAAGCAACUACCAGGCCAUUUUGGUGAACUACUGUAGUAUUCACUGAGCAUCUAACCAAAGUAAUCACAGCAAAGCCCCUCUCUUUUUAAUGCAUGAUAACAACAAGAUCCUCUUGAAAAUGUUCAACAAGUUAAAAACACUUGAAUGCCAUUCAAGUGCUGAAGGGGCAAAGCAUUUAGGAAAAUGACAAUAACAACUGCCAUAAAAGAACUAGUAUAAUUUUUUGUAUUCACCCAAGAGUUAGAGUGCAUUUAAAAUAAUGACGUAUGUCUUUUUGGAUGUAACAUUGACAUCAUUAUCAUAAAGCAUUGUUGGCGACAUAUUAAAUCUACAGAAUCACUGAGUAAUUUUAAUAAGAAAAAACCCAAAAUAGUGCUUGUAUAGAUGUGUAUUUUUCAGGGCUGGCAAGAUGUGCUAAGAGUCUGAAUCCUAAAGAAAGUUAGCAAGAACUAGGACAUGCAUCUUCUCUAUUGAACACCGUCUGUGCUACUCUCUCUCUCUCGCUCGCUCGCUCUCUCUCUCGCUCUCUCUCUCACUUUCUCUUUCGCUCUCUCUCUCGCUCUCUCUCUCUGUCUCUCGCUCUCUCUGUCUCUCGCUCACUCUCUGUCUCUCGCGCUCUCUCUCGCACUCUCUCUCUCUCGUUCUCUCUGUCUACAGGCCCAUGGUGUCUGAGUGUGCAUCAAUGUGUGCAUCUCUGUGUGAUCAGACCCACUCAUCAGCUCAUGCUGAUACCACCACAGUGUGGGCAUUUCAACUACACACAUUUGCUUCAUAUUCAGCAGAGAAAUCUAUAUUCUUCUCAUCCAGUGGGAAUUCAAUGGGUUUUUCUGUGAACAUCAUGGGCCUGAAACAACUUAUAUUUGACCUCCUAGAAAUCUGUAUUCACCCCUUAAUAACAGCUUCUUAGUGUGACAUGAUUUCCGGGGCACCACAAUGAUGUACAAAUAUAAAUGUAAUUCUGAAAUUGUAUACAUGUUUUAUUUUAUUGUGCCAGACAUUUGAUAUGUUCUUGUUGUCAUGUAAGUUUUGAUAGGCUACACAUUUGCAAUAUUGGUCAGUUAUUGUCAGAGAUAUGAAAUAUCCAUUAAUCACAAUGAUUGUCAACAUAGAUAUCAGACAGAUCUGUCUAUUGAAUGUGACUUUAUCUUUUCAUUAAAAUGUACUUCCUCUCGGAAAUUGGAUUCAAUGUGACAAAAAUGAUUUGCUUCGUGAAAGUAUCAAUUAGCUUAGUAUGUGUCUGUGUGUUUAGUGAUACAAUGCAUUGUGAUUUAGAAUAAGAUGAAACUGAAACGCUAGUAACUACCAAGGAAAAAGUGUUCACUGCAAGAGAACAAAACCCAUAGUGCAUUAUUGGAAUUGACACCACACAUGUUACCUGUACAGGUGGAGAUAACGGAUGUUUGAUGAUUGAACAACAGGCAUAAUUAAUAUUAGAACAGAUAAUCAGCAGUUGUAGUCUAACAUAUGAAACAUGACUGGUCCUACCCAGUCAAAUCAUACACGGGUUGAGAAAAAAAAGGCUUUCUGCCCGUUAUUGGUAAUGUAAUGGGGAACAUUAGCAUGCCUUCGUACAGUUUCAUCAUUAUUCACAAUUCAUUCAGGAUCUGUUAUCACGGGAAGCAUCUACUUUAAUGCAGAUGUUAUAAGAAGCAUAUUCCUUUAUCUACAAUAAAAGUUAAUUAUAUUAUUUUACCAAUAAUGUAUUUUGUGCCCUGGG
Long non-coding RNA from Esox lucius (northern pike), 3541 nucleotides. Lineage: Eukaryota; Metazoa; Chordata; Actinopteri; Esociformes; Esocidae. The record is from Ensembl.